Piliocolobus tephrosceles (Ugandan red Colobus) is the source of this 1582-nucleotide long non-coding RNA. The record is from Ensembl. Lineage: Eukaryota; Metazoa; Chordata; Mammalia; Primates; Cercopithecidae.
GGCCUGAGUCCAGAGCCUCAGAUCUUGCACUGGCAGCACACGGGGACACAGCAGCUAGACUGGGAGCAGCAGGGUUUGCAGCAGCUGGACUGGCAGCAGGAUGACCCACAGCCUGAGGAGCAACAGCAGGGCUUACAGCAGCUAGACUGGGAGCAGCAGGGCUUACAGCAGUUGGACUGGCAGCAGGAUGACCCACAGCCUGAGGAGCAGCAGGGUUUGCAGCAGCUGGACUGGCAGCAGGAUGACCCACAGCCUGAGGAGCAGCAGGGCUUACAGCAACUGCGCUGGGAGCAACCACAAGAACCACAGACCCCCUUAGAACCCCCACAAGAGCCACAGCCCCCCUUGGAGCCCCCACAGGAGCCACAGCCCCCCUUGGAGCCCCCACAGGAGCCACAGACAGAACAGGAACAGGCUGGCACACAGCAGCACACGGGCUUGCAGCAGCAGACAGGCACACAGCAGCUGGAGCCACAGCCCCCACAGCCAGAGCCACAGCCCCCACAGCCGGAGCCACAGCCCCCACAGCCAGAGCCACAGCCUCCGGAACAGCCACAGCAGCCCAUGGUUCUGGUGGAUUGAGGGUGGAGCAGGUAGAGGAGCAGGUGAGAGGGAGGUGCAGGUGUGGAGCUCCCUGAGCCCGGGCUCUUUAUAUCCCUGUCCAGAGGUCAGGCACAAUACAGGGUCCCUUCCUUGUGACUGUUUACACUAUUUUUCCAGAGCUCUGUUUUUUCCCUCUUUGCUAGUGACUUCCUCCUGGCUCAGUUGAGCAUCUGCUUUCUUUGUGUGCUAAAUUUGUCUUUUUCCCUAUUUGUUUUGGCCCCUACAAGUAAUACCUCAGCUCCAGGCUGUCUGGUGCUUCCCACAAAGCCCCAGGGUGCUGGUCACCUGCUCUCUGCUGACCACAUGUGACCAAUGGUCAACAGCCUCUGCCCAAGCGCUCUCAUCUUUCCUGUGUUGACUCCCCCAGAUAAUAUUAAUUUUAUGUUUUUAGAUUUCAAAAGUUAUCCAUGGUCUUUGUAUUUUACUCAUGCUAGUCUCAGUUUCGCAUUGUUGUAAAGAAAUACUGGAGGCUGGGUAAUUUAUGAAGGAAAGAGGUUAGAUUGGCUCACGGUUCUGCAGGCUGCACAAUCAUGGCACCCACCUCUGCUCAGCUUCUGGGGAGGCCCUCAGGGAGCUUUUCCUCACGGCGGAAGGUGAAGCAGGAGUGGGCACGCCACAUGGUGAGAGUGGGAGCAAGGGGUGAGGAGAGGCUGCAGACUUGUGAACAACCAGAUCUGAGUGAACGCACUCAUCGCUAAGGGGAGGGUGCUAAGCCCGUCAUGAGGGAUCCACCCCCAUGAUCCAAACACCUCCCUGCAGGCCCCUCCUUCAACACUGGGGAUUACAUUUCAACAAGAGAUUUGGAGGGAACAUCCCAACUAUAUCAUUAUACCCCGACCCCUAAAUCUCAUGUCCUUGCAUUGCAAAAUAGAAUCAUCUCUUCCCAACAGUCCUCCCAAUGUCUUGACUGAUUCCAACAUUGAGUCCAAAGUCCAAAGUCCGAGCUCCUUCCACCUAUGAACCUAUGAAAACCAAAACA